This 468-nucleotide ribosomal RNA is filed under the name uncultured bacterium. RNAcentral's name for it is "partial 16S ribosomal RNA". It matches the Rfam family "Bacterial small subunit ribosomal RNA", at positions 28 to 507 of the family's 1533-position model. The record is from RNAcentral.
GACGAACGCUGGCGGCGUGCUUAACACAUGCAAGUCGAACGGAAAGGCCCUGCUUUUGUUGGGUGCUCGAGUGGCGAACGGGUGAGUAACACGUGAGUAACCUGCCCUUGACUUUGGGAUAACUUCAGGAAACUGGGGCUAAUACCGGAUAGGAGCUCCUGCUGCAUGGUGGGGGUUGGAAAGUUUCGGCGGUUGGGGAUGGACUCGCGGCUUAUCAGCUUGUUGGUGGGGUAGUGGCUUACCAAGGCUUUGACGGGUAGCCGGCCUGAGAGGGUGACCGGCCACAUUGGGACUGAGAUACGGCCCAGAAUCCUACGGGAGGCAGCAGUGGGGAAUAUUGCACAAUGGGCGGAAGCCUGAUGCAGCAGCGCCGCGUGCGGGAUGACGGCCUUCGGGUUGUAAACAGCUUUCGCAUGUGACGAAGAGUGAGUGACGGUAAUGGGUAAAGAAGCACCGGCUAACUACGUG